GACGAACGCUGGCGGCGUGCCUAACACAUGCAAGUCGAACGAAGAAUGUUUUUCGGAAUAUUCUUAGUGGCGGACGGGUGAGUAACGCGUGAACAAUCUGCCCCGUACAAAGGGAUAGCCUCGGGAAACCGGGAUUAAAACCAUAUAACACUUAACUGCCGCAUGGUAGUGAAGUCAAAUCGAUUAAGAGGUAUGGGAUGAGUUCGCGUCUGAUUAGCUAGUUGGUGAGGUAAGGGCUCACCAAGGCGACGAUCAGUAGCCGGCCUGAGAGGGUGAACGGCCACACUGGAACUGAGACACGGUCCAGACUCCUACGGGAGGCAGCAGUGGGGAAUAUUGCACAAUGGAGGGAACUCUGAUGCAGCGACGCCGCGUGAGUGAAGAAGGUCUUCGGAUUGUAAAACUCUGUCCUUGGUGAAGAAAAGGACGGUAGCCAAGGAGGAAGCCCCGGCUAACUACGUG
RNAcentral lists this ribosomal RNA (462 nucleotides) under uncultured bacterium. RNAcentral's name for it is "bacterial SSU rRNA". It matches the Rfam family "Bacterial small subunit ribosomal RNA", at positions 28 to 507 of the family's 1533-position model. The record is from RNAcentral.